This 433-nucleotide ribosomal RNA is filed under the name uncultured bacterium. RNAcentral's name for it is "partial 16S ribosomal RNA". It matches the Rfam family "Bacterial small subunit ribosomal RNA", at positions 29 to 507 of the family's 1533-position model. The record is from RNAcentral.
AACGAACGCUGGCGGCAUGCCUAACACAUGCAAGUCGAACGAGACCUUCGGGUCUAGUGGCGCACGGGUGCGUCACGCGUGGGAACCUGCCCUUAGGUUCGGAAUAACUCCCCGAAAGGGGUGCUAAUACCGGAUAAUGUCUUCGGACCAAAGAUUUAUCGCCUUGGGAUGGGCCCGCGUUGGAUUAGCUAGUUGGUAGGGUAAAAGCCUACCAAGGCGACGAUACAUAGCUGGUCUGAGAGGAUGAUCAGACACACUGGGACUGUGACACGGCCCAGACUCCUACGGAAGGCAGCAGUGGGGAAUAUUGGACAAUGGGCGAAAGCCUGAGCCAGCAAUGCCGCGUGAGUGAUGAAGGCCUUAGGGUUGUAAAGCUCUUUUACCCGGGAUGAUAAUGACAGUACCGGGAGAAUAAGCUCCGGCUAACUCCGUG